GCGCCCUUACCGAUAGAGCUUACAAACGUUUGGAUUGCUAAUCCGAAGGUCGCGAGUUCGAAUCUCGCCGGGAGCU
This 76-nucleotide transfer RNA is filed under the name Ktedonosporobacter rubrisoli. RNAcentral describes it as "tRNA-Ser". The stretch from base 18 to 76 matches the Rfam family "tRNA". From Rfam's summary of the family: Transfer RNA (tRNA) molecules are approximately 80 nucleotides in length. Their secondary structure includes four short double-helical elements and three loops (D, anti-codon, and T loops). Further hydrogen bonds mediate the characteristic L-shaped molecular structure. tRNAs have two regions of fundamental functional importance: the anti-codon, which is responsible for specific mRNA codon recognition, and the 3' end, to which the tRNAs corresponding amino acid is attached (by aminoacyl-tRNA synthetases). tRNAs cope with the degeneracy of the genetic code in two manners: having more than one tRNA (with a specific anti-codon) for a particular amino acid; and 'wobble' base-pairing, i.e. permitting non-standard base-pairing at the 3rd anti-codon position. The record is from RNAcentral. Lineage: Bacteria; Bacillati; Chloroflexota; Ktedonobacteria; Ktedonobacterales; Ktedonosporobacteraceae.